RNAcentral lists this long non-coding RNA (4230 nucleotides) under Sus scrofa (pig). RNAcentral describes it as "lncRNA (ENSSSCG00030012977.1)". The record is from RNAcentral. Lineage: Eukaryota; Metazoa; Chordata; Mammalia; Artiodactyla; Suidae.
CUUACAACCCUCUGCUUUAAGGAGCUCCAACUACACUGAAAUAUGAAAAUACCAUUUUAAUCAUGUGCAUUGUCCAAAAACAUAGAAAUGCCAGAGACUGAGAAGUGGGAAAGUGGCAUUCAGAGGCUGAAAAAACAAGAUGCUGCAACAAGAAUGAAGCAACACAUAUAACCUUUACUUUAAAUCAUAUACGGUAGUAAGAUUUUCCAAAAACAAAUAUUCAGUUUUGUUUGUAAUGUAACACGAAUCUCCAAGCCCAACAUCUGGAUAAAAUUUAUUUUCUUUGGAUUUUGGAAUUAGAGAAAGUUAGCCCAAACCCUUUAUGAGGUCACUUGGGAAAUCAAGAGAAGGGCUUCUAUGGUCAGAUUUCAACUCACAGUACAAAUAAUGAGGUUUUAAAGGUGCUUAUCGAUUAAAAAAAAAAAGAAAAGAAACCCUUCUUUAAACAGCCUAUUUUGGUUUUCUAAAAUAGUAUGUGUUUCGGUAGUCUCGAAAUCACCAAUGUCAAGAAAGAUUUUAUUCUCUCAGAGGCAUUUCAGUAAAGAAGUUUGACAUGAGCACAAAAUUGGUGAUGGAAAAUGUCUAUCUUUAGAUUUACCCAUUGGCAGCUACAUGUAUAUUUAAUUGAACAGGAGAAGGGAAUUGGAAAAAAAAAAAUGGUGAGCUCCCCACAUUUUCAAUAAGUAAGAUACAUUUUUCUUAAUUCUUAGAUGCUUAUUUCUAAAGCCAGGUGUUUUCUGAGCUAAGGUGACCACUGCAUAGGAAGGGCCCACUGAUCAACUGGCCAUAUCAAAUCAUUUAGCAUAAUCUCUCUCAGCCUCUGUGUGACACCCAUCUCUUCCCCUUUGGAUUCACUCAAGUUGGGUGCUUGGCUUUGUUUUCUGCUGUUUCAACAGGACCCCACAAGUUCCAUCUCUGCCACUUGCCAGAUCUUUGGGAAAUACGGAAACUUAUGAGUAAUGCAUUCAUGACAUGUUUUCUCUCGACAAAUUAAAUAUUUGCUAAGAUAAAGUGUAACAUCAUUGGUAAAUAUAGCACAAAAUGAGAGAAUCGGAGUCCCAGCAGGGAACAUCUUAGUUAGAUUUGAACUCCAGGGGGCCUUAGUCACCCCCAAGGUCAGUGCUCUGGCCAAUCUCAAUGUUUGUUUAUAUCCUUGAGAACGAAAGAUAAGGGCAUGAACUCUGUGAGGUCAUUUAUAUUGGGGAAAGGGGACCCUCCCAAGUGUCGGCUCUCCAGCCAUGUCUGGAUCCAGAAAAGUAAAUAAGUAAAUAAAAUAGUUUUUAAAAAGAAAAAAAAAAAAAAUCUCAAAAAUGACAGCCCUUGCUUUUCACACUGCCUCACUUCACGUGAUUUUAAAUGAUGCCUUUCCAAACCCUCAUUUUAAUGGGGAGAGGCUCCAGUGCUGUCUAAGGUAGGAACGUGAAGCAGAAAUGAAGUCGCUCGUGCACGUGAAUGUGGAAGAUGGACCUGGGUGUGAGAAAGGGACUUUUCAUCUGCCUUAUGCAUCUUUUCUUUUUUACUCAUCCACGCACCACUCACCAUAUCUUUACUGAGCCUCAUCUCAUUCACAGAGUUGUGCUGGGCACUGCAGGGACACGGGGAUGAAUGCGAGGAUGGAUCCCACACACCUAGAAUGUACUAAGCGAAACUUAGCCUUUCCACGAAUAAAUAUGAUUAAAAAUUGGAGGCGAAAAGUGUCCAAAGAGACUCAGAUAGGAUGCUAGGAGGCUGGCUUAGGCAAGUGAACUUCUUGGCAGUGGAAAGAACUGUGGCUGUGGAAUCAAAAAGAUCCAAGGCUCCCUUGUUCUCUGGACUUGAGAGAUACCGAGCGACGUAUAUCACCUCUCUGUGUCUCAGUUUCCCCACCAGAAAAAAAAUUGCUCAACAAAUGGCAUGUCUCCCGCCUCAGCUUUCCAUCUUCUCCACAAAGCUGUUUUAAGUAUUCUCGACUCUUGAAAGCUCCAGCUCACUACUCUUCCCCUCCCUCGAGGUGGAUGACCUCAAUUCCCAUCCCUCAGAGAAAACGGAAUCCGGAAUCCGUCAGCUGGAAAACCCACUCCACUUCCUGCCACCAGCCUACACACCUAACAGUCUCCAAGCUCAUCACACGCCCUCUGUCCUCACACAGAAGCAUGGUUUCAUGUAUUAAGAAAAGCCAAAGCAUCGCUCUCUGCUCUAGAUCUCAUCAACCUCACCACUUCUCUCCCAGAGACUUUAUUAUUCCCUUGCUGCUCUCCUUCAUCUUCAAAAGCUCCUCCUUGCUGCCUAAGGCUCAUCACUUCUAAAACCAUAGAGGUCUCGAUGAUCUCAAAAGCAACAGAAACUAAAACCUCCCUCAAUACCCCUGAGAGGUUCCCAGGAGGAUGGAGACAGAGCCCCACCCCCCGAAUGUGACCUUGGAGAUCUGCUGGGGACACGGGUACAGCCCAGCUCGAGAUCUGCACCCUUUCCCACCAUGUGGAGCAUCGAUGAACCACCGACAAGGAUUCACUGCCCUCUGUCACGGGACCCCACCCCCUCCCCCUCCCUUGACCUUCCCCUCCUCCUCCUCCUUCUUCGUCAUUCCUGCCACACGUUGCCGCCAAGAACUCCAGCCACAGAUCCUCUACAAGCUUAGCACCUCCUCACAGUCGGGGCUGGCGCCAUCCUGAGCUCAGCCCGUGCCCCUCUGAUGCCUUAACAAAUCUCUCCUGCUUUACCCACCAGGCCUUGUGUGUUCCUCCCUCGGCAAACCUAACAACGCCCUCAGCACUCUCUUUCUACAAAUCUGGGUUCUCUGCUGUGUUGCCUCUAACUAGGGGUAGUUACAUAAAAUUAAUUAGAACUAAAUAAAAUUUUUAAACUCAGUUGCUCCGUGGCACGAGCCGUAUCUUAGAUGGCAAAUGACAAGAGGACAGGGCAGAUUUAGAUCUUUGCCACCCACUGGUAAACUCCAUUGCUAGAUUUUUGUAUUCUUUCCACUCCUCCGCCUUCUGGAAACUUUCCCCAUGUUAUCUGACAUCUCCUUCUUCCUCCUCUUUAUGCCUCAACUCACAGCUGUCUGACUUGUCCCCACUGCCGUACAGUGUGGUCAACCCCCUCCCCCAACAAUGCAAAUCCACACACGUGUCUCAGACCUUCAUCUUUCUGACCACUCAGGAGUUUAAGAUCAGUGACAGCUACUUAAAAUAUCCUUGGAGUUCCCAUUGUGGCUCAGGGGCUUAUGAAUUCGACUAGUAUCCAUGAGGAUGUGGGUUCAAUCCCUGGCCUCGCUCAGUGGGUUGGGGAUCUGGCAUUGCCGUGAGCUGUGGUGUGGAUCACAGACACAGCUCAGAUCAGAGCAGAGGCCAGCACCUGCAGCUCCAAUUCAACCCCUAGCCUGAGAACUUCCAUCAUGUGGAAGUUCUCAGGCCAGGGAUCAAACCCAUGCCACAACAGUGACCCAAGCCACUUCAGUGACAAUGCCAGAUCCUUAACCUGCUUGGCCACCAGGGAUCUCCUUCUCCCACUUUAUAAAAUGUCAAAAAACAACAGCCCUUCUUUUUUCACACUGCAGUGGCCUUUGUGGACUUCUGUCUCUGCCCUACACAGAAAUGCACAUGUCCCUCUCUGCUGUCUGUGCAGGUGUGGAGAGCAGUCACAGCUCACAGUGACCUGAAGGAAAGGCUGAUCUCCCACAUGUCGUACGGCAGCCCUCCUAAGACUUCAGGCUGAAUCUACACACGUGGAACACGCUGACAGGUAAGACUAUCCCUCACACGUUCCUGAGCUUUAUGAUCUACCAUGACGUCACAUUUUUACAUGUUCAGUCUGUGAAGUCCCCAAGCCCAUUCUUGCCCCUGGUAGCAGGAGGCAGGUCCUCCUUUGUCCAGCGGUUCCUCCCUACCACGUGAGAAAUCCCAGCACUGCUAACACCUGUCUUUGUUGCUUGUUGCCCUCAGCCAGAGGUGUCUCCAAGUCCAAUCUCAAGAAACUGUGGGCUGCGGAGAGCAGGCCUGUCUCCCGCCAAGUUGCACUGCAACCUACAGAGUGACCUCUUUGUCAUCACCACCAUGUCAACUCCUGGCAGUGGGCCACUCAGAUGCUCAUCUGAAACUGAGAGCUCCAUGGCCAAUAACAACCCCAGAGUUUUUAAAAAUAAAUUAAGAUGUGGAGUUAUGUCUAACUUGGUUAGUGUGGCCAGGAGAAGUUGAUUUAUCUCCUGCAAUCACAGUUCAUUUUUCCCACGUGUCGGACUCUUUUAGCCACCCC